RNAcentral lists this ribosomal RNA (523 nucleotides) under uncultured bacterium. RNAcentral describes it as "bacterial SSU rRNA". It matches the Rfam family "Bacterial small subunit ribosomal RNA", at positions 988 to 1509 of the family's 1533-position model. The record is from RNAcentral.
CCAGAGAACUUUCCAGAGAUGGAUUGGUGCCUUUCGGGAACUCUGAGACAGGUGCUGCAUGGCUGUCGUCAGCUCGUGUUGUGAAAUGUUGGGUUAAGUCCCGCAACGAGCGCAACCCUUUAUCCUUUGUUGCCAGCGGUUAGGCCGGGAACUCAAAGGAGACUGCCAGUGAUAAACUGGAGGAAGGUGGGGAUGACGUCAAGUCAUCAUGGCCCUUACGAGUAGGGCUACACACGUGCUACAAUGGCGCAUACAAAGAGAAGCGACCUCGCGAGAGCAAGCGGACCUCAUAAAGUGCGUCGUAGUCCGGAUUGGAGUCUGCAACUCGACUCCAUGAAGUCGGAAUCGCUAGUAAUCGUGGAUCAGAAUGCCACGGUGAAUACGUUCCCGGGCCUUGUACACACCGCCCGUCACACCAUGGGAGUGGGUUGCAAAAGAAGUAGGUAGCUUAACCUUCGGGAGGGCGCUUACCACUUUGUGAUUCAUGACUGGGGUGAAGUCGUAACAAGGUAGGCGUAGAUGA